AGUUUGAUCCUGGCUCAGGACGAACGCUGGCGGCGCGCCUAACACAUGCAAGUCGAACGGAGUUAAGAGGAGCUUGCUUUUCUUAACUUAGUGGCGAACGGGUGAGUAACGCGUGAGUAACCUGCCCUGGAGUGGGGGACAACAGUUGGAAACGACUGCUAAUACCGCAUAACCCCAGGGCCCGGGAUUGGGGUUAGGGGAAAGGGAUUUUUCCGGCUCCAGGAAGGACUCGGGUCCAAAUAGCUUAGUUGGUGAGGUAACGGCCCACCCAAGGGGGACGAUUGGUACCCGGACUGAGAGGUUGAACGGCCACAUUGGGAUUGAGCCACGGCCCCAGAUUCCUACGGGAGGCAGCAGUGGGGGAUAUUGCACAAUGGGGGAAACCCUGAUGCAGCGACGCCGCGUGGAGGAAGAAGGUUUUCGGAUUGUAAACUCCUGUCGUUAGGGACGAUAAUGACGGUACCUAACAAGAAAGCACCGGCUAACUACGUGCCAGCAGCCGCGGUAAAACGUAGGGUGCAAGCGUUGUCCGGAAUUACUGGGUGUAAAGGGAGCGCAGGCGGACCGGCAAGUUGGAAGUGAAAACUAUGGGCUCAACCCAUAAAUUGCUUUCAAAACUGCUGGCCUUGAGUAGUGCAGAGGUAGGUGGAAUUCCCGGUGUAGCGGUGGAAUGCGUAGAUAUCGGGAGGAACACCAGUGGCGAAGGCGACCUACUGGGCACCAACUGACGCUGAGGCUCGAAAGCAUGGGUAGCAAACAGGAUUAGAUACCCUGGUAGUCCAUGCCGUAAACGAUGAUUACUAGGUGUUGGAGGAUUGACCCCUUCAGUGCCGCAGUUAACACAAUAAGUAAUCCACCUGGGGAGUACGACCGCAAGGUUGAAACUCAAAGGAAUUGACGGGGGCCCGCACAAGCAGUGGAGUAUGUGGUUUAAUUCGAAGCAACGCGAAGAACCUUACCAGGUCUUGACAUCCGAUGCAUAGUGCAGAGAUGCAUGAAGUCCUUCGGGACAUCGAGACAGGUGGUGCAUGGUUGUCGUCAGCUCGUGUCGUGAGAUGUUGGGUUAAGUCCCGCAACGAGCGCAACCCUUAUUGCCAGUUACUACGCAAGAGGACUCUGGCGAGACUGCCGUUGACAAAACGGAGGAAGGUGGGGAUGACGUCAAAUCAUCAUGCCCUUUAUGACCUGGGCUACACACGUACUACAAUGGCGUUUAACAAAGAGAAGCAAGACCGCGAGGUGGAGCAAAACUCAAAAACAACGUCUCAGUUCAGAUUGCAGGCUGCAACUCGCCUGCAUGAAGUCGGAAUUGCUAGUAAUCGCGGAUCAGCAUGCCGCGGUGAAUACGUUCCCGGGCCUUGCACACACCGCCCGUC
This 1376-nucleotide ribosomal RNA is filed under the name uncultured bacterium. RNAcentral's name for it is "bacterial SSU rRNA". It matches the Rfam family "Bacterial small subunit ribosomal RNA". The record is from RNAcentral.